ANCAUGCAAGUCGAGCGGGAAGCUUUUUAAGGAUUCUUCGGAUGAAUUAAAAAGUGGAGAGCGGCGGACGGGUGAGUAACGCGUGAGAAACCUGCCCUAUACAGGGGGAUAGCCAUUGGAAACGAUGAUUAAUACCCCAUAUGACCACAGUAUCGCAUGAUACAGCGGUGAAAACUCCGGUGGUAUAGGAUGGUCUCGCGUCUGAUUAGCUAGUUGGUGGGGUAACGGCCUACCAAGGCGACGAUCAGUAGCCGGCCUGAGAGGGUGACCGGCCACACUGGAACUGAGACACGGUCCAGACUCCUACGGGAGGCAGCAGUGGGGAAUAUUGCACAAUGGGCGAAAGCCUGAUGCAGCGACGCCGCGUGAACGAUGAAGGCUUUCGAGUCGUAAAGUUCUGUUCUUGGGGAAGAUAACGACGGUACCCAAGGAGAAAGCACCGGCUAAAUACGUGCCAGCAGCCGCGGUAAUACGUAUGGUGCAAGCGUUGUCCGGAAUUACUGGGCGUAAAGAGUUCGUAGGCGGUUAGAUUAGUC
Molecule: ribosomal RNA, 536 nt
Filed under: uncultured bacterium
Lineage: Bacteria
Description: bacterial SSU rRNA
Rfam family: Bacterial small subunit ribosomal RNA
Source: RNAcentral